AUAGAACGCUGGCGGCAUGCUUUACACAUGCAAGUCGAACGGCAGCACGGACUUCGGUCUGGUGGCGAGUGGCGAACGGGUGAGUAAUACAUCGGAACGUACCCAGUAAUGGGGGAUAACUAGUCGAAAGAUUAGCUAAUACCGCAUACGCCCUACGGGGGAAAGAGGGGGAUCGCAAGACCUCUUGUUAUUGGAGCGGCCGAUGGCUGAUUAGCUAGUUGGUGGGGUAAAGGCCUACCAAGGCGACGAUCAGUAGCGGGUCUUAGAGGACGAUCCGCCACCCGGGAACUGAGACACGGUCCAGACUCCUACGGGAGGCAGCAGUGGGGAAUCUUGGACAAUGGGCGAAAGCCUGAUCCAGCAAUGCCGCGUGCGUGAAGAAGGCCUUCGGGUUGUAAAGCGCUUUUGUCUGGGAGCAAAUCCUUGUGGCUAAUACCCACCGGGGAUGAGAGUACCAGAAGAAUAAGGACCGGCUAACUACGUGCCAGCAGCCGCCGUAA
Molecule: ribosomal RNA, 500 nt
Filed under: uncultured bacterium
Lineage: Bacteria
Description: partial 16S ribosomal RNA
Rfam family: Bacterial small subunit ribosomal RNA
Source: RNAcentral